GAGAGCCUGGCUGCUUCAGAGUGGUCAAAAGAUUACACUGAUGCAGGGAGUCACCCUGAUGGUGCUACGACUGGGCAGAACCAAUGGGAUACUCGGUGGAUGUGUGACUCGGAAGGGAGCCAGUGGAGAGCAUGUUAUUUCCAUGAUGUGUUAGCAGCCGUGCCCGUCCUCACAGCACCGUGAGAUUGCUGCUUUAUUCCUCUUCAUGAGAUGAGGAGAGCAAGGUGCAGAGGAAUUGAAUAACUGCCCCAAGUUCAGUGACAUGGCUGAGAUGCCAAAAUAGAACCAAAUCCCCAUGAACUCUGCUAAUAGAAGAGGAGAAGGCAGAUGGAUGAAAUUCUCAGAUGCACUCCAACAGCAAUCCAGCCAUGUCCUCUGAUCCUGCUGAGGCUGAUGGCACUGCGUGGCAUCCUGCCAUACUUCCCCACGCACAGUCUAUACACAUCGGUAGUGUGGGCAGAAGGAAAGGUGGGUGUUGCUGGAAGGUAAGUAAAAUCACAGAAGUUAAGAGAAAUCAGCCUGCCUUCAAAAAAAAAAAGUUUCCCCUCAGAUGCAUAGACUGUAGAAAUCAGCCUUUCUGAUAAUGCUGAGGGAGAGAGAGUAGAUAGAAAGGGGUAACCCAGUGGUACUGUUCUUGCUAACUUUUAGGCAAGAUAGUUAUGCCAACAUUGUCCUCCAAACCAUAGACCUCCUGACAUACUGGAAUCAUAUAGCUGCGGCAUACUUAGAGGCUGUCUCAUUCAACUCCAUCAUUUUAAAGAGAAUAGAUGUGGGUGUGGACAAGCAAAGGAACUUGCCCAUGGGCAUUCAACUAGAUGGUGACAGAGCCCCAGUCCAAGAGUCUUUCCAUGAGCAGAACCCAGGACCAAAUCUGCAACAGACUUUGAGAGGAUUCAGGUACAGGUGUGGGCAUGAGGGAUUUGUUACUUCCCAGAGACUCUGGAGCCCUUGAUUUGACAAUUCUGUUCCUCUGGAACUAAUCUCUUUAUAGGUCAGUUGGACUCCUGAGCCCUUUUUAUUCUCAAGAGAUCGAUCAGAAGGAUGAGUGUGGUGGCUCACGCCUAGCACUCUGGGAGGCUGAGGUGGAUGGACAGCCUCAGCAAGAGAGACACCCCGUCUCUAAAA
Long non-coding RNA from Nycticebus coucang (slow loris), 1125 nucleotides. RefSeq lists it as uncharacterized. The transcript has 3 exons. Lineage: Eukaryota; Metazoa; Chordata; Mammalia; Primates; Lorisidae. The record is from RefSeq and is a predicted model, not a curated record.